AUACGAAGGGGGCUAGCGUUGUUCGGAAUUACUGGGCGUAAAGCGCGCGUAAGCGGAUUGGUCAGUUAGGGGUGAAAUCCCAGGGCUUAACCCUGGAACUGCCUCUAAUACUGCCAGUCUUGAGUUCGGGAGAGGUGAGUGGAAUUCCUAGUGUAGAGGUGAAAUUCGUAGAUAUUAGGAAGAACACCAGUGGCGAAGGCGGCUCACUGGCCCGAUACUGACGCUGAGGCGCGAAAGCGUGGGGAGCAAACAGGAUUAGAAACCCUAGUAGUCC
RNAcentral lists this ribosomal RNA (274 nucleotides) under uncultured bacterium. RNAcentral's name for it is "partial 16S ribosomal RNA". It matches the Rfam family "Bacterial small subunit ribosomal RNA", at positions 523 to 796 of the family's 1533-position model. The record is from RNAcentral.